This is a long non-coding RNA of Balaenoptera musculus (blue whale), 589 nucleotides long. RefSeq lists it as uncharacterized. Lineage: Eukaryota; Metazoa; Chordata; Mammalia; Artiodactyla; Balaenopteridae. The record is from RefSeq and is a predicted model, not a curated record. The transcript has 3 exons.
UCUCCUCCUGCCUCGCCCGCCCGUCUCGGUUUCCAGAACCCGACAGCUUCGGAAGAGGCGCGUUCCGUCCAUCACCUCCUUGAUUCUCGCCGCCUCCUCUUAGGUCUGCUCAUGGAGGAGAUUGCUGAUCAGAAGGGUGAAGUCCAAGGAGUUCCGCCACCAGGGGUCAAACCCAUGCCCUCUGCAGUGGAAGUGAAGAGUCCUAACCACUGGACCGCCAGCGAAUUCCCAAGGCUGAUUCUUUAUGCUAAAAGUUCGGUGGGUUUUGACAAAUGCAUAAUGUCAUGCACAUCAACUACUCUGUGUGCACCAUUACACACAGAGUAGUUUCACCACCCUAAAUAUCUCUUGUGCUUCAUCUAUUCAACAUUCCUUCCCUCUCCCCAAACCUUUGGCAACCACUGUCUCUAUAGUUUUACUAUCUCUAUAGUUUUGCUUUUUCCAGAAUGUCCUAUAAUUGGAAUCAUAUACUAUACAGUUUUUAAAAUUUGUUUUAAAUUUUCUUGGCCAUGUCGCACAUCUUAUGGGAUUUAAGUUCCCUGACCAGGGAUCGAACCUGGGUCCUUGGCAGUGAGAGCGGAGUCCUAAC